ACAGGAAACUCCCUGCCACCUCCCUGUCCCCUCUUCCCAGGGCACAACCCCAGGGGAUCCAGACGAGGGGAGGAGGGGAAGUGAUGGGGCAGACACACCCCUUCCCUUCCCAGCAGGCACCUGCGGAUCUCUAGAGCCGAGAGUCAAACCUGAACCGGGAAGGGGAGGCAUGACACUUGAGUUCUUAAUCACAUUAGUCCGGAUUUUAACAGAGGAAAGUGAAUGGACUGCCGUUCCAGAUAUCUGGGGAUACAAGAGCAAGAGAACGUGGUUUCAAGUGAUGAUGGAAUAAAAAUAAAACCUCUUCAUGUUUGCUGCCCACAGAGAGCAAAACCACUUCUCUGAACACAGAGGCAGGGUCCUGAGAGAGGAGCUGCUGAAUAAUGCAGGGGCCAACCUCCUGGAAGGAGUCCAGCAGCCCGGGUGAGCCAAGGUAACGGCGGGAGCUGACGGACAGGCCGGGCAGCGCUGCAUCACUCUCAAGGAACAAGCAGCUUCUGUGCCACUCAGUUUUGAGAUAUGACACAUCGCACAUUUAAUGUGCACAGCAGGACGACUUGACACACAUAAGUACUGCAAAAUGGUCACCACAGUAAGUUCAGUUAACAUCUAUCACCUCACAUAGUAACGAAAAUUUUUCCUUGCCAUGAGGACUUUUAGUAUUCACUCUUUCAAAUGUGGCUUUUUAAACUAUGAUCAUGAUGUUGUACGUUACACCUGUAACACGUACUUAUAACUGGAAGCUUGUACCUUUCGACCACGUUCACCAGUUCCCCCAUGUGUGGAAAGAAAAGUGUUUGCAUUACAUUCACCAAAACUGGAAAGAAGAGGCUGGAGCACAAAAGAGGGAGGGCACUGUCCCCUCCCACCCCACUACAGCAGCAGGGCUGGGAUUUGUGUGUCCUGGCACCAGGAAGAAGAAUGAAGUCCCCGCUUCAGCGCGCACAGCGGCUACAAGAAACAAACAAUAAACCUAUUUUGCACAUUGACUGAUCUGACUCCAAGGGUUGGCAAUGUCUCCAGUGUUUAGAGAGCAAAGACCCAGCUUACGUAAGUGCUGAACUUAAGAGCUGAGGGCCCCAACCGGAGACUAGGGACGCCAUGACGUUUGUGACAAGCAGAAACGAAAAUAUCAGAUGCCACAUGGAUGAGGAACUCCGGUGCAGGAGAAACGCGUUAUUUAACAAUCUGCCACUGAAUGAACAAAAACCAGCUGAAAUCAAGCUAGAGGCAGCCAAGAACACACCGCUGAAGUCAUCACGGAGCGCUACCAAGAUUGGCUGGGGACUGCAGAGCUAAUUGUAGAAUCAGCAACAAACUUGAACAUAAACAAGCCAUCCAACCACCUGCACGGGUCUUUUUUCUAUCUACAACUGAAUUCAACUGGGGAGGGAAGCAGUGUUGGCAGCACCUACUCCAGGUUGGACCCACGGAGACGCUGGGAUGCAACCAGGGCAGGUGCCCAGGUACAAACACACCAAUUCUCCAGAUGCUCAAGGAUUUCACCAGUUGAUUAAAAGCAACUCCCUUAAGCUCCCCGCCGACCCCCUUCCUCGAACACCGGUGGAUGCCUCCUUAUACAGCAGCAGGAAGAUUUCCUCACAGGGAAAGGAUGAUUUUUCAGAGCCAGGUACAAUCAUGACUCUCACACAGAUGUAACACCAGGUCAAAGACUGAACUCAUUAAUUCAUGGGGGAACUGGAAAGCUCUCAUAAACACCUCAAAGGAGAAUCCCAGGACCAGACUGAACAAACCUAAGCCCAUCAGGAAACAAAUCUGCUUGAGGGAUGCAAAGCUAGCUUCUUCCACAGUGGAGAUGAAGUCAAUUCAACCUCUAGAGCACAAAAAACUUCCUGCAUGUCUACAGGUAAGAAUUAUGUGCAUUAUAUCAGUAUCGUACAAGCUAAGGGCUACAGAGUGAACUCGAUCUAGUCAUCUCUAGAGGUGUAAAAUAACUCAAAGACAAUUAAAAGCACAAACCCAGUAGAAUCAGGGAACUCUGAAAGGUAUGCUCUAAACACAGUUUGCCACUGAAGACGCUGGGAAAUCUUUUGGCCUAAUUUAAAGCCUUUUACGACUUUUGGGCUCUGAUCUUUCCACCUUGAUCAAGAAUAAUCCCAAAGGAGCCACCCCCACAGGGCUAGCCUCGUUAGAUUUGGCCUCAUCGUGUGUGGAGGUGCAGGGGUGGGACUCAGCGGGCAGGCUGCCUCCAAGAUGUGCUACUCUGGCCUGUGGAUUAUUUUGAGCUGUGAACA
This is a long non-coding RNA of Camelus dromedarius (Arabian camel), 2255 nucleotides long. RefSeq lists it as uncharacterized. The transcript is spliced from 3 exons. The record is from RefSeq and is a predicted model, not a curated record. NCBI's taxonomy places the organism in Eukaryota, Metazoa, Chordata, Mammalia, Artiodactyla, Camelidae.